Ribosomal RNA from Ursus maritimus (polar bear), 125 nucleotides. The record is from Ensembl. NCBI's taxonomy places the organism in Eukaryota, Metazoa, Chordata, Mammalia, Carnivora, Ursidae.
GUCUAGGGCCAUACCACCCUGAACGUACCUGAUCUCAUCUGAUCUUGGAAGCUAAGCAGGAUUGGGCCUGGCUAGUACUUGGAUGGGAGAAGUAACUGAUGGGAAACGGCAAAGAGCCCAGAAUU